UACAGAGGGUGCGAGCGUUGUCCGGAAUCACUGGGCGUAAAGGGCGCGUAGGCGGCUUGAUAAGCGUGCGGUGAAAGCCCGGGGCUCAACCCCGGGUCGGCCGUGCGAACUGUCGAGCUGGAGCACUGUAGAGGCAGGUGGAAUUCCGGGUGUAGCGGUGAAAUGCGCAGAUAUCAGGAAGAACACCCGUGGCGAAGGCGGCUCUCUGGGACGGUACUGACGCUGAGACGCGAAAGCGUGGGGAGCGAACAGG
RNAcentral lists this ribosomal RNA (253 nucleotides) under uncultured bacterium. RNAcentral describes it as "partial 16S ribosomal RNA". It matches the Rfam family "Bacterial small subunit ribosomal RNA", at positions 524 to 776 of the family's 1533-position model. The record is from RNAcentral.